UCCGCAUCCGGAUCACUCAUGGGAGGAAGGUGGCGUACAGUGUUAUUUGUGCUCUUCCAAGGAUCAAAGCAUCAGCUGGAAGACAAAGAGGAUGGCUAUAACAGCACUCCGGAUGACUGAGAAGAACAAGCAACAUUGAAAAGGAAAGCAAAUCAAGCCAGAAAUCAAAGUAUUUUCCAUUUCCCACUGAUUAGGGGCAAAAGGCAGUUCCUCUUCUUCCUCAGUGACUGGCUGCAGCUGCACGCUUUCCCCAGGCAAAGCCUCAGGACUCCUGCUGCAGCUGUGCUUCAGCCAAAUCCUUGUCAGACAACUGACUGGAGCCAUUGAUCAACUCCCCUCCAGAUGUGGCCGGGACUGGUUCAUCUUCCUCUGAACUGACAUCUGAAGAGUGAUCUGGGAAAGCAUCUGAAGGAGUCAUCACAGGCAGACAGUAAUACAGGCCUUGAACUG
This is a long non-coding RNA of Thamnophis elegans (Western terrestrial garter snake), 450 nucleotides long. RefSeq lists it as uncharacterized. The transcript has 2 exons. NCBI's taxonomy places the organism in Eukaryota, Metazoa, Chordata, Lepidosauria, Squamata, Natricidae. The record is from RefSeq and is a predicted model, not a curated record.